AAGAGACCUAAGAGAUAGAAAAUAGAGAAUUUCUGAAACAGCUAAUAUUUUACCGUUCCAUCAAAAUUUCAGUGAUCUUUUACUUCUGAAAAAAUAAAGUUCCUAUCCUGAUAUCCACCAUGUAUUGAGGUCUGGUUGUUAAAGGUUCUGAGUCAAACUGGUUGAGUAUUGAUCUUCCGUUGGUUUUCUGAGUGGAUUUCUGGGUUUAAUUGUUGAAUCUGGUUGGUUUUUGCUGCUGAUUGCAUGAUGAUAUUACUGCUGUCUCCUCAUUUUCUGGUUUUAUUUUCUUCCAGGUACAUGUUUCUUGAAACUCCACAUGUUUGGGUGAAACUUUCAGUUGAAGAAUAAAUAAGAAAGAAGAAUUCUGAAGCAUAAUUUCGAUCGUUUUCUAGUUUAACUAUGCUUUACUUUGAAUUUCUUUUCUUGUUUGACAUGCCAUAUUGUUAGUUGACCUCUGUGUUAAUUAAACGAUUACUUUUAUAAUUGAUUUGGAACUAUUGUAAAGCUAAAGGGACAGUUUGUUAUAUAGGUUCAAGUCACACAUGCAUGUUUGAGAAAUCUGGUAAUUGUAAAUAGUUUUGAACUCAGCUGCUAGGGUGUUCUUUAGUUGACAAUAUAUUAAUCAUGUUCUGUGGAUCAUAUGUUCAGCUACUGGUUUUAACUGGAAGUAUUUUUUUCGGAUUUCUGGGGUAUUAUAAUUAUGCUAUAAGAAAAAUGAUCCAUAGUAUAUUCGACAAUAGAUUUAGCUCAUUUUGGUUUGAUUGUGAGCACCUGUAAUUGGAAAUCAUGGGUUGUAAUGUUCAGUUAAUGGUUCAACACUUAAAGAACAGAGUUCAAUUUCAUUUUUAUGUUGGUUUCUGAUUAAACGCAAAUGGUAGUUGGUCCUGAGGACUUGAUCCUAAGGUUUGAGUUGGGGCACUCAUUUUAUUAGCAAAAUUUGGGAUCUCGCUGAUUCCCCUAUAAUUGGAUGAUUCUCGUGCAGGGAGACUCGAUCUCGAGUCUGCACUUGAUGUGGCUCAAGUUCCAAAUUCGUAACUCACAUUGGGCUGGGGAUGUAAGCCCAUUUGUUAUUUUUAUUUACCUCAUUUGUCUUUCCAUGUAAAGGGCUAGCUGUUGGGCCCAAGUCCUUGCAUAAUAAUACAAUUCACAACGCAGGACUGUUGACUUUAAUUUGGUCAAAGGGUUUAGUCUAGUCAGCAACGAUCUCUCUUGCUCGUUGAAUUAAUAAAUUAAGGGGAGCGGUGGUUAGAUAACACGAAAUAGCUAUGGCCCUCAAACAUUUAGAUUGAACUUUCUUUCUUUCUUUUAAAAAUGGAAUUGAAGUGCACCGCGCCAAAUAAAAUCUUAAAUGCGUGGCCCUCGUUUAAUUAUUUUAAAAUCCUUAGAAUUCGAGGCGUGCCAUUUAGCAAAUUUUCAUGGCCUUCGCAAAUGUUAAAAAUGCGUAGUUGCUUUAGGCGCGUUAUCUUAAUAAUUUACCUUCCUAAACUCGGGUGCACANNNN
RNAcentral lists this long non-coding RNA (1501 nucleotides) under Nicotiana tabacum (common tobacco). RNAcentral describes it as "long non-coding RNA (NTAB_LNC010623)". Lineage: Eukaryota; Viridiplantae; Streptophyta; Magnoliopsida; Solanales; Solanaceae. The record is from RNAcentral.